RNAcentral lists this long non-coding RNA (3348 nucleotides) under Lupinus mutabilis. RNAcentral's name for it is "partial ncRNA". Lineage: Eukaryota; Viridiplantae; Streptophyta; Magnoliopsida; Fabales; Fabaceae. The record is from RNAcentral.
CGCAUAUGAUGAUUAUUAAUGACCCUUUCUAUAAGAACCUAUUCACUCUACUCUCUCAUCAUCAAUACCUUUCAGAUAAGAGUUUUUCUUCUAUACGUUUUUCUCCCCUCCCUCUCAAACCUUCAUCUAUCUUCUUUUUCCACCUCAAAAAUAGUAAAUAAAUUAAAAAUCCUUCAUCUUUUUUUCCCUUAUAAAUCUCCCCCUUUAGAAUUUUUGUUGUUGUGAUAUAUUCCCUUUCUUUCCUGAACCCUCCUCAUUCAAAUCUUUGAUAUGAUGAUUCUUUCCUAUAAUAGAAUCUCAUGCACGAUUUCUAGAAAGAUCAACAAAUAUGCAAUCAGUGUGGCUGAUUAUGUUAUGGGUGGAGAGACAUGAGUAUAUAUAUUCAGGUGAAUUGAUGCAUUAUGCAUGCAUUAAUCUAUGUACAUAUAUAUCAUAAUAUUUUUUACACACAUUCAUAUUAGAUCUGAGAUGUUUAUAAUCAUUCUAGAAGAUUGCAUCGGUUAUACCUUUGACAUAUAAAUGUACUUAAUCCCUUAUACUUACGAUCUCUAAACAUAAUUCCUAAUGUUAUGUCAAUGGAUCCGUUUACAAAGAUUAGGUAUAUAUUUUUUUUGAUAAGAAGAUUAGGUAUAUAUGUAUUUAGUAUUUUUACAAACAAGAUCUGGGAUCAGUUUAAUUGCUUAGUUGCUAGAGUUAUAUAUGUGAGAUAAAGUAUGAACCCCAACACAACUUUUUCUAAAGUAAUAUUUUGGAAACUUAAUAGCCAUGAUUAUGAUCAAGGCCAUUUAUCCUUUGAUAACAUUAAUCAUUUGAUACUUAAUAAGAGCAUUAUUGAAAAACAGUAAAACAAAUCUCUGAUUCACACUAUUUUAGUUAUCUCAAAUACUUAUCUAAUGUCUAAUUCAAAAUGUUCCUAUGUAGUGGCCAGAUUAUAAUUUUUAAUUUUUAUAUUACAAAGUCAAAGAGAGAUUUAUAAGUUCAAAAAACAAGGUCAAAGACCUUAUAACUCUAGUUUUUCAAAUGUGUGUAGAGACAUAAAAGAAAUAGAAAUAUAAAUAAUUUGAUUUGUUAUAAGAGAUAUAUAUGCAUAUUACACACCUCUAUAAUCUAUAUAUCUGUCUUUGUCUCUAUAAACCAUACAUGGAUGUAUGGUGCAAUAAUAUAAUAAUAUAUGAUGCCAUUUUUUGUUGAUAAUGGACAGAAAGUGGAGAGGAAUAAAGGGUAUGUGUAUUGUGAUGAUGAGAAAUGGAUAUAAAUCUCAUGUUGUUGACAGAAGAGAGAGAGCACAAGCCAGGAAUAGGCAAAGAGAGUUUGCCUUUGUUGGGAGUGUGCUCUCUCUUCUUCUGUCACCAUCACAUGGAUCCAUGCAUUGCUAGCUAAGGUAGCUAAAGGUAUAGUAUAUGUUAAUAUGAUACAUGAAUGAAUGCACCAUUAAGGUAUAGUAGAUGUGAAUGUGAUGCAUGAAUCAUGAAUAAUGCACUAUUAAAGGUAUGUGAGGCUUUUCUAUUGUUCUGGUUUGAUUUGUUAUAUUUUGUUUCUUUGCUUUUAAAAGGGCUAUCAUAUGUCAACUAUGUUUUUGUAGGCACCCCUAUAUUCAGAAUACUCCUCAUUAAGCAGGUAAAACAGUAAUAAAGGAAACACUUUGUCUUCUGCAAACUUCAAAUUAAGUGCAAAAUUAUAAAUUAAAACACAGACAAAUGUUUGAACUGGAUUAAAUUUUGAAGUUUACACCUUUAACUGUAGAAUAUAAACAUAAAGAAACAAGCUAUGUGAGAUAGGUCAAACCUUUUUUAAUAUAUAGGUGAGACCCAAACUUCUUAACUUAUAUAACCUAAAUAGAUUAGAUAUAUGCUUCUUAAUAUAUAUAUUAAGUUUAACAGACUGAACUAUAUAAUUUGUAAUUUUUUUUAUAUAACAUAUAUAUAUAUAUGUAAAUCAUGUAGCCAAUAUAGUAUUGGGAAUUUGGUAGGUUAGAUUUGUUAUUUAAGGUUGCUUUGUUAUCAUAUUUAAAUAAGUAAACCUAGGUUGCUAUAGGUGGUAUCUGAUUAAGCCAAGACAUCAUUUGUUGCCAUAUUUAUUUACGGGUAAAGAAAUAGGGAAAUAGUGUUUUUUUUCUCCUUCUUAGUGAUGGUUCUAAAAUAGACACAGCAAUAAACCCUAAACCAAACAAUAAAGAAAUCUUAAGAAGACUAAUUUGUUUUCUUUUGUUUAUUUCAGAAAACCAUUUGAAGGCGAAAGGUAUACCCACUUAACUGAUGUAUCCCCUUCCAUGAUUAAUCUUCAAUUAUCCAUGAGAAUUGAAUGCUUAUAUGGAGUGAUAAGUACACAUAUAAAUUGUUUUGAAUAAUGUGGCCCUCUUUAUCCCGAACCAAUGAUAUAUUGUCACAUAAAUUCAGAAAACUUAUUUGUAUCUAGCAAGAACAAAAGUUGAUACAUCCUACGACCCCUUCUUACUUUCUUCUGGUGUUCUAAUGUUUUCGAGUGCUUAACUGCUUGUCACAUUCUUAGUCUUUGUGCACCACACAUUUUUGCUACAAAACAAGUCUCUCUAUACAUAUCUAAACUUUUGCACCACUUAAUUUUUUUUUAUUAAACUAUUUUUUGUCUGUAUAGUUUCAUUGGAUUUUAGAGAAACAUGAUAAAUAGAUUAAACAAUAAUUUGUUUAUCUCGGUUCCAAUAUUAUUUUUUUGAGUUUCAAGCAAGUCUUGAUUAGAAGCUUAAGGUGUUGCGGGCAAAUCAACUUUUCCAGCCAUUUGCAAAGAACAUUUGCAGCAAUUCAGAGGUUGGAUAUUAGUCUUAGGCUGUCUCUGUUGUAAUUAAUUUAUGGGAGCAUAUUAUAUCUAAAAAUGUGUAUUACUUUAUGUAUUAUUACGAAAACACAAAAUAUAAAUUGACACAGUGGGACAAAUACAUGUUAAAGAUGGUCCCACAUGCUUAUGUGGUGUGGAACAAAUACAUGUUACAAGUAGCUGGUUUUGUGAAUACUUUUUCUUCAUGCUUUUUUUUAAUCAUGCUGUUUGUAUAUUAUCAAUUUAAUAGUAUUUAUUAUGCAUGGGUUAUUAUUGUGCAUUAUUUUUUUGGAUUGCAGGGGUGUCACCAAGUUAUAUUUUACUUUGUACAAGGUUUAGUUGUUGUGUCAUGCUCUAUAUUCCUAGAGCUACUUAAAAGCUGAAUGAAAUUGUAGGGAUAAAAUAAUUUAAUCCAGCUAUAUCUAGUUCUGGAUUUAUUUUCCCCUUCAUUUAUUCAAUCCUAAUUGUAAAAUGGAUUAACGUGAAACAAGGUAUUUUUGGCAAGCAUGGUGAAAAAUAUUUAAAAGCUGUGUUUAAAGUUUUUACUGAUGUAAAGAU